RNAcentral lists this ribosomal RNA (1128 nucleotides) under Cronobacter sakazakii. RNAcentral describes it as "bacterial LSU rRNA". It matches the Rfam family "Bacterial large subunit ribosomal RNA", at positions 1551 to 2661 of the family's 2925-position model. Lineage: Bacteria; Pseudomonadati; Pseudomonadota; Gammaproteobacteria; Enterobacterales; Enterobacteriaceae. The record is from RNAcentral.
UAAGGCUGAGGCGUGAUGACGAGGCACCACGGUGCUGAAGUGACAAAUGCCCUGCUUCCAGGAAAAGCCUCUAAGCAUCAGGUAACAUCAAAUCGUACCCCAAACCGACACAGGUGGUCAGGUAGAGAAUACCAAGGCGCUUGAGAGAACUCGGGUGAAGGAACUAGGCAAAAUGGUGCCGUAACUUCGGGAGAAGGCACGCUGACAUGUAGGUGAAGCCCCUGCGGGUGGAGCUGAAGUCAGUCGAAGAUACCAGCUGGCUGCAACUGUUUAUUAAAAACACAGCACUGUGCAAACACGAAAGUGGACGUAUACGGUGUGACGCCUGCCCGGUGCCGGAAGGUUAAUUGAUGGGGUUAUCGCAAGAGAAGCUCCUGAUCGAAGCCCCGGUAAACGGCGGCCGUAACUAUAACGGUCCUAAGGUAGCGAAAUUCCUUGUCGGGUAAGUUCCGACCUGCACGAAUGGCGUAAUGAUGGCCAGGCUGUCUCCACCCGAGACUCAGUGAAAUUGAACUCGCUGUGAAGAUGCAGUGUACCCGCGGCAAGACGGAAAGACCCCGUGAACCUUUACUACAGCUUGACACUGAACAUUGAGCCUUGAUGUGUAGGAUAGGUGGGAGGCUUUGAAGCGUGGACGCCAGUCUGCGUGGAGCCGACCUUGAAAUACCACCCUUUAAUGUUUGAUGUUCUAACCUGGCGCCGUAAUCCGGCGUGGGGACAGUGUCUGGUGGGUAGUUUGACUGGGGCGGUCUCCUCCCAAAGUGUAACGGAGGAGCACGAAGGUCAGCUAAUCCUGGUCGGACAUCAGGAGGUUAGUGCAAUGGCAUAAGCUGGCUUGACUGCGAGAGUGACGGCUCGAGCAGGUGCGAAAGCAGGUCAUAGUGAUCCGGUGGUUCUGUAUGGAAGGGCCAUCGCUCAACGGAUAAAAGGUACUCCGGGGAUAACAGGCUGAUACCGCCCAAGAGUUCAUAUCGACGGCGGUGUUUGGCACCUCGAUGUCGGCUCAUCACAUCCUGGGGCUGAAGUAGGUCCCAAGGGUAUGGCUGUUCGCCAUUUAAAGUGGUACGCGAGCUGGGUUUAGAACGUCGUGAGACAGUUCGGUCCCUAUCUGCCGUGGGCGCUGGAGAA